GCGUUGUUCGGAUUUACUGGGCGUAAAGGGCGCGUAGGCGGUAAUUCAAGUCAGUUGUGAAAUCUCCGAGCUUAACUCGGAACGGUCAACUGAUACUGUUUUACUAGAGUACAGAAGGGGCAAUCGGAAUUCUUGGUGUAGCGGUGAAAUGCGUAGAUAUCAAGAGGAACACCUGAGGUGAAGACGGGUUGCUGGGCUGAUACUGACGCUGAGGCGCGAAAGCUAG
This 226-nucleotide ribosomal RNA is filed under the name uncultured bacterium. Its description in RNAcentral is "partial 16S ribosomal RNA". It matches the Rfam family "Bacterial small subunit ribosomal RNA", at positions 538 to 763 of the family's 1533-position model. The record is from RNAcentral.